Molecule: non-coding RNA, 30 nt
Filed under: Homo sapiens (human)
Lineage: Eukaryota; Metazoa; Chordata; Mammalia; Primates; Hominidae
Source: RNAcentral
UCACCCAGAACCACAAGCUCAAAGAGCAGC